Long non-coding RNA from Anopheles arabiensis, 898 nucleotides. RefSeq lists it as uncharacterized. The record is from RefSeq and is a predicted model, not a curated record. The transcript has 3 exons. Lineage: Eukaryota; Metazoa; Arthropoda; Insecta; Diptera; Culicidae.
UGAACUCAGUAAUCUAAACAUACUGCAUAAAGCAUUAUUUUUUCUUCACUUUACCAAUCUUAGUAGCCGUUACCUUAAACACUGCCCGAAACUGGAGCAUCAAGCAAAUAGAGAAACACUCACUGCUGCAAUACCUUCACAAUAAACUUUAAUUUAUUUCUACCACCAGCUAAACCUCUUCCUAAACCUCCUAGUACGGCGCGUUCCAACCGACAAAGCGUGCCUGCAGCAAACUUCGCCCGCACGGAAACGACUCAACCACGGUACUGGCACCACUCAAAGCUUUCGGGAGCUCCCGAAGCCUCCCCUAGGGACGGUCUACUAACGCAUCGGGUCAAAUCCUCAUCAAAACCGAUCCAGGUACGUGAUAGUGUAACGAAUCGCACCAAGAUUAAACUGUGCCAUUUGGGCGUAAAGUGGAACACUCGACAGUGAUUAUGUUGAGUACUGGCUUUCACAUACUGUAACCGGUUUUUUGUUCGUGUGUCGUUGCAAGAAGGUUUGGCCGAUAGCGCACCAAAAGGAAAGAAAAGGGUGGGGUUUAUUAAUUAUUUUGCUCCACCCACCCUAUAACCGUGUUUGUCCGAUUUGUGAAGCAUUUAAAUUGUGUGUACCGGAAUACCGUCACCUGUAACCGACAGUACCGGGCUUGCCGGGGCCGGGUGCUUGUUUGUGCUACAUAAACACGCCCAGCACGGCGUGAGAGAACGUACGUAAAUGAUGGAUUUAUGGUACACAAGAAAUGAUUAAUUGUUGCACCGCUCUGUACGCCCUCGAAGUCAAUUAGUUCCACCAGCACAUCGAUACGAUACAAAUUUUCCCGUACGGUUCGAUCGUUUUUUUCGGAUUGCGUCGCAAAAUGGGAGCUUUUUCGUUGUAAAUUAAACCUCAAACUCAC